Molecule: long non-coding RNA, 569 nt
Filed under: Oryza brachyantha (malo sina)
Lineage: Eukaryota; Viridiplantae; Streptophyta; Magnoliopsida; Poales; Poaceae
Description: long non-coding RNA (OBRA_LNC002458)
Source: RNAcentral
CAUUUAAAACGACACACUUCUAAUAUUUCCUCCCUAUUUUUUUCCUUAUAUUUCUCUUGAUGUUUUUAUGCCUCAACUUACUUGUCCAGACAAUUCAAUGCUAAGAGAGGUAUCGAGUAUAAGUUUGGCUUCUUUCCAUUUCAUUGAUUUAAGAUGACUAUCAAAUUGGCCAAGCAAACUGAGAUUUACAUGAAGAUUGUUCCGGAUAUCAAGCUCUACGUCUUCGCGUGGUCUUUCUUACCAUUAUCUGAAAGAUACUUAGAGUCACCAUAUUUUCUAGUCUAACUUACUACUCCAAUUACCAUGUACCUCGAGAUACUAAAAUUUUGUAUUGGUCAUUUGGCCAGGUGGCAGCCCCAUAACCCUAGCCGCAGAGGAGAAGAAGAACCUGCCCAACUAUAACCACACGGGAGGAGAAGAGGAAGGGAAGGGCAAAAGAAAGAAGAUGAUUGAAAGAAAAUAAGAAAUAAAAAAGGAAAGGGAAAAGAAGAAGGAAAAAGUGGAGAAAAAUUAAACAAGGUAAAAAUAGAAGAGAGAGCGUCCAAGCGUGUAAAUUUAAUUUUGACCUU